GGACUACAGGGGUAUCUAAUCCCGUUUGCUCCCCUGGCUUUCGCGUCUCAGCGUCAGGUGGGGUCCAGGAGCCCGCUUUCGCCACGGGCGUUCCUUCCGAUCUCAACGCAUUUCACCGCUCCACCGGAAGUUCCGGCUCCCCCUACCCCCCUCCAGGCCGGUCGUAUCGAGGCCACUUCCCCGGUUGAGCCGGGGGAUUUCAGCACUCGACGUGCCGGCCCGCCUACACGCGCUUUAAGCCCAGUGAUUCCGAAUAACGUUCGCACGGUUCGUCUUACCGCGGCUGCUGGCAC
This 293-nucleotide ribosomal RNA is filed under the name uncultured Planctomycetota bacterium. RNAcentral's name for it is "uncultured planctomycete partial 16S ribosomal RNA". Lineage: Bacteria; Pseudomonadati; Planctomycetota. The record is from RNAcentral.